CGUGUAGGCGGCGGAUUUAGUUAGGCGUGAAAGCCCCGGGCUCAACCUGGGAACUGCGCUUAAUACUGAUCUGCUAGAGUCCGGGAGAGGCGAGUGGAAUAUCCAGUGUAGAGGUGAAAUUCGUAGAUAUUGGAUGGAACACCAGUGGCGAAGGCGGCUCGCUGGACCGGAACUGACGCUGAGGCGCGAAAGCGUGGGGAGCAAACAGGAUUAGAUACCCUGGUAGUCC
Molecule: ribosomal RNA, 229 nt
Filed under: uncultured bacterium
Lineage: Bacteria
Description: partial 16S ribosomal RNA
Rfam family: Bacterial small subunit ribosomal RNA
Source: RNAcentral